UUCCCCAGCCCCCACCAGGGGCAGGGGAGGACCCAUCUGCUGGAGCCCUGCAAAGAGAGACCUUUCUUCCCUUUUAAAGGAUUAUUGAAAUAACGCCUGCCAUUUCUCUCCUAAAUGUGAUAUAUUGUCUGAUAACUGCCAGUUGCUUAUGAAUUAAAUCAAGUGGCUUCCAAGAGUUCUGGAGAUGACUCAUCUUAAGGUUCAGCGCAAACAUUCAGAAGAUCCUAAGGCUGACCUGGAGUAUGGCAUUAAUCAUCCGGCCACUCAUACAGGUGCUUCUAGCAGCAUAAGGUGAAGACCGUGGACAAAGCAGCUGGCGGGGAACAAGUCGUGCCUAUCCAGUUUUUAACCCUUUGUAAUUUCGAAUCUCUCUAAAGGAGACUGACGUUUUGGGGGCUCACAUAGGCUGGCAGGACUGCCAAUUUUCUAUGCACCAUAAUCCUGUGCACCUAAGUUCAGGAGCUACACUGCGUGCUCAGAUUAGAGUUGUAGGAAGCCUUCCAUCCCAGAGAAAAGAAGAUGCACUCAUCUAACCUUCUGUGUUAGGCCAGCAAAGGUCCAAAAAGGCCCACAAGGCUGACAUGGCUGAGGAAAACCAAGACACCAUCUGGCAUAAGAACAUAAUUUUCAAGUAUGAGUCUGGGCAGUGUUACUUAGGGGACAACAGCGAUGAGAAAUGGUUCUGUCAUGAUUUGGGGGCAUAUGUUGAAAUAACUCCCUCUCUGGAGGGAGGGCUUGAGGUUGGAGGACUCCAUAACUACCAAAGGGAUUCUGCUUCACAAACUGCUUGGCCAGCAGGGCUGGCCCUCGUGGACCUGGGCUUGUCUUUCCUCACCACUGGACCUUGUCAGGACCAUCCAGGUCACCCUGACAGGUUUCAAUACCCUUGAGUAUCCAAAGUAAGCAUUCAGAGCCUGGAUAAGUACUUUCAGAAGAUUUCCGGGUUAUCUACCUAUGAGCAAUGUCCCAUUCUCUUCCAAAUAACCUGCAACGUCUACAUAAAGAUGUUUCUCUGGGGUGAGCAGCGGUACUGCCUCCUGACUGGGUACUUCAUGUGUGUGGAAAGAUCACUCUGAUGGCAUCAAGGCAGCUGCAGUCGCGAGGGUGAGAAAAGACGAGGGCCUGAAAGAAGUACGAAGACGGAGAAGGAGGCCCGCUGGGAGAAGUGCUAAGUAAGUGGGCUCAACAGAAUGUGGUGACUUGUCAGCUGUGGCCACAGGCGGAGGCAAGGAGAGCUCCGGUGAUUCCGUGUUCCACGCUGGGCCACUGGGCAGAUGGAGACCACGCAAGAGCAGGCAUGACUAUUAUCCAGUAUUGUGUAAACUAAAAAUAAAACAAAACUGCAUG
This is a long non-coding RNA of Suricata suricatta (meerkat), 1347 nucleotides long. RefSeq lists it as uncharacterized. Lineage: Eukaryota; Metazoa; Chordata; Mammalia; Carnivora; Herpestidae. The record is from RefSeq and is a predicted model, not a curated record. The transcript is spliced from 4 exons.